GUCUCGUCCAUCCAGCCUCACGCAGAGUGCUGCUCUCUGCCUUCCUGCACGCCCGCGCCCCAGGAGGAGCCCCCAGCCCUCAACUGCAGCAGAAGCCACUGCCCAGCAAACAGCCUCACGCACUGCAAGGAAGCUGCCGCGGAGUGAGUGCUGGUGCCAGACCUUCAGCUCCGUGAGAGUGGGGAUCAAAUCUGUUUUGUUUUCUAUUGUCACCUGCAGCUGGGACGGCCCCUGACAGCCAACAGGCCCGAGGACUGUCGAAGGAGCCCAGCCUGUGAAGGUGAUGUGAUGCGAGCGACCUCGGCAGCCAACUGUCCCGUGGCCGAUGGAGCCAGAAAGAUCCCUUGAGGACACUGAGAUGCUUAGCAACAGGCACAGGGGAAGUGACUCGGGAUUCGGCAGAAGGAAGGAAGGAAGAGCUCCUCUUACAGAGGAUGAAACACGCAAAAGAGGACUGGUAACAGUUUGGAGGACAGCCCCAGGUGGCUCCGGGGAAACUUGUCAGACUUCUUGUCGUGGGAAAAACAAGAAGCCUUGUGGGAACAGUGUCUGGGGCUCAGCCAGGAGCAAAUAUUAAAAAGAAAAAAAAAAUUGUAGAAACCAACAAAGAAGCUAAAUCAACACCAAACCAAAAACCUCAUUUUGCUAUAAACCAGAUGCAU
Molecule: long non-coding RNA, 662 nt
Filed under: Sus scrofa (pig)
Lineage: Eukaryota; Metazoa; Chordata; Mammalia; Artiodactyla; Suidae
Description: lncRNA (ENSSSCG00050057986.1)
Source: RNAcentral